RNAcentral lists this ribosomal RNA (569 nucleotides) under uncultured archaeon. RNAcentral's name for it is "bacterial SSU rRNA". It matches the Rfam family "Archaeal small subunit ribosomal RNA", at positions 326 to 900 of the family's 1478-position model. The record is from RNAcentral.
CGGGGUGCACCAGGCGCGAAAACUUUACAAUGCUGGCAACAGCGAUAAGGGGACCUUGGGUGCCAGGAUACAAUCCUGGCUGUCGUGAUGCCUAAAAAGCAUUAUAUAGCAAGGGCCGGGCAAGACCGGUGCCAGCCGCCGCGGUAACACCGGCGGCUCGAGUGGUAACCGCUAUUAUUGGGUCUAAAGGGUCUGUAGCCGGCUUGGUUAGUCUCUUGGGAAAUCCGGCAGCUUAACUGUCGGGCUUUCAGGAGAUACUGCCAGGCUCGAGACCGGGAGAGGUGAGAGGUACUUCAUGGGUAGGGGUGAAAUCUUGUAAUCCUUGAAGGACCACCAGUGGCGAAGGCGUCUCACCAGAACGGAUCUGACGGCAAGGGACGAAAGCUAGGGGCACGAACCGGAUUAGAUACCCGGGUAGUCCUAGCCGUAAACGAUACUCGCUAGGUGUCGGCCACGGUGCGACCGUGGUCGGUGCCGUAGGGAAGCCGUGAAGCGAGCCACCUGGGAAGUACGGCCGCAAGGCUGAAACUUAAAGGAAUUGGCGGGGGAGCACAAGGGCGAAUUCGCGG